GCCACUAUGGUUCAGUGGUUAGAACGCCAGCCGCCUGAUUAGCUCAGCGGCGGGAGGUCCAGGGUUCGACUCCCUGGGGUGGUC
Mycena latifolia is the source of this 84-nucleotide non-coding RNA. The record is from the annotation of a GenBank genome assembly. Lineage: Eukaryota; Fungi; Basidiomycota; Agaricomycetes; Agaricales; Mycenaceae.